Molecule: ribosomal RNA, 498 nt
Filed under: uncultured bacterium
Lineage: Bacteria
Description: partial 16S ribosomal RNA
Rfam family: Bacterial small subunit ribosomal RNA
Source: RNAcentral
AUUGAACGCUGGCGGCAUGCCUUACACAUGCAAGUCGAACGGUAACAGGUCUUCGGGUGCUGACGAGUGGCGAACGGGUGAGUAAUACAUCGGAACGUGCCUAGUAGUGGGGGAUAACUACUCGAAAGAGUGGCUAAUACCGCAUGAGAUCUACGGAUGAAAGCAGGGGAUCGCAAGACCUUGUGCUACUAGAGCGGCCGAUGGCAGAUUAGGUAGUUGGUGGGAUAAAAGCUUACCAAGCCGACGAUCUGUAGCUGGUCUGAGAGGACGAUCAGCCACACUGGGACUGAGACACGGCCCAGACUCCUACGGGAGGCAGCAGUGGGGAAUUUUGGACAAUGGGCGAAAGCCUGACUCAGCAAUGCCGCGUGCAGGAUGAAGGCCUUCGGGUUGUAAACUGCUUUUGUACGGAACGAAAAGCCCCGGGUUAAUACCCUGGGGUCAUGACGGUACCGUAAGAAUAAGCACCGGCUAACUACGUGCCAGCCGCCGCCGUAA